RNAcentral lists this ribosomal RNA (567 nucleotides) under Limosilactobacillus fermentum. RNAcentral describes it as "bacterial SSU rRNA". It matches the Rfam family "Bacterial small subunit ribosomal RNA", at positions 335 to 894 of the family's 1533-position model. Lineage: Bacteria; Bacillati; Bacillota; Bacilli; Lactobacillales; Lactobacillaceae. The record is from RNAcentral.
UUCCCUACGGGGGAGGAGCAGUAGGGAAUCUUCCACAAUGGGCGCAAGCCUGAUGGAGCAACACCGCGUGAGUGAAGAAGGGUUUCGGCUCGUAAAGCUCUGUUGUUAAAGAAGAACACGUAUGAGAGUAACUGUUCAUACGUUGACGGUAUUUAACCAGAAAGUCACGGCUAACUACGUGCCAGCAGCCGCGGUAAUACGUAGGUGGCAAGCGUUAUCCGGAUUUAUUGGGCGUAAAGAGAGUGCAGGCGGUUUUCUAAGUCUGAUGUGAAAGCCUUCGGCUUAACCGGAGAAGUGCAUCGGAAACUGGAUAACUUGAGUGCAGAAGAGGGUAGUGGAACUCCAUGUGUAGCGGUGGAAUGCGUAGAUAUAUGGAAGAACACCAGUGGCGAAGGCGGCUACCUGGUCUGCAACUGACGCUGAGACUCGAAAGCAUGGGUAGCGAACAGGAUUAGAUACCCUGGUAGUCCAUGCCGUAAACGAUGAGUGCUAGGUGUUGGAGGGUUUCCGCCCUUCAGUGCCGGAGCUAACGCAUAAGCACUCCGCCUGGAUAACGACCGGCACGGG